CACCAAUGAUUAAACCGAGGACGGUUUGCUGUCAAGAAGGGGAGAAUGAUGAGGACAUCACCUGCUCCGUAAUACUUACAUGGAUCAGGAGAAUAUUUGAUUGCAUAUUGAGCAUUAUGCCCUACUUGGGAGAAGAGGACCAUUAUGGAUGGUGAAUGAAGUUGAUUGGGGACCAUUAUGCCCUACUUGGGAGAAGAGGACAAGCUUGAGUCGAGGACGACUCAAAUGCAAGAAGGGGAGGAUGAUGAGGACAUGAGUACCAUC
RNAcentral lists this long non-coding RNA (264 nucleotides) under Sorghum bicolor (sorghum). Its description in RNAcentral is "long non-coding RNA (SBIC_LNC018616)". Lineage: Eukaryota; Viridiplantae; Streptophyta; Magnoliopsida; Poales; Poaceae. The record is from RNAcentral.